UUUUUUCAUUUUUUUUU
Molecule: small RNA, 17 nt
Filed under: Arabidopsis thaliana (thale cress)
Lineage: Eukaryota; Viridiplantae; Streptophyta; Magnoliopsida; Brassicales; Brassicaceae
Description: ATSL175880
Source: RNAcentral